Non-coding RNA from Glycine soja, 102 nucleotides. Lineage: Eukaryota; Viridiplantae; Streptophyta; Magnoliopsida; Fabales; Fabaceae. The record is from Rfam.
GGGUGCAUUACAGGGCAAGUUCUCUUUGGCAGGUACCAACAAGCUAUGCAAUACUAUAUGUGUGUGCAAUCUGCCAAAGGAGAUUUGCCCAGCAAUUCUCCU